UGUGACAGACGAUGCCUGUGCGUGUGUAUUAAGAAGGAGGCAAGGGUUAUUCGAAUUACGUGUGCGUAAUGUGCACUUAGGCUGACAAGCCGGUCCGCUGUUAAAACGCGAUGCUCAACGUCGAUAGGUCGGUGGAAAUCGUUUGGCUAGAGUCCGGAAGAGGAGAGUGGAAUUCCGUGUGUAGCGGUGAAAUGCGCAGAUAUCGGGAAGAACACCCGUGGCGAAGGCGGCUAUCUGGGACGGUACUGACGCUGGGACGCGAAAGCGUGGGGAGCGAACAGGAUUAGAUACCCGAGUAGUC
This 301-nucleotide ribosomal RNA is filed under the name uncultured Desulfurobacterium sp. RNAcentral describes it as "bacterial SSU rRNA". It matches the Rfam family "Bacterial small subunit ribosomal RNA", at positions 506 to 795 of the family's 1533-position model. Lineage: Bacteria; Pseudomonadati; Aquificota; Aquificia; Desulfurobacteriales; Desulfurobacteriaceae. The record is from RNAcentral.